RNAcentral lists this ribosomal RNA (771 nucleotides) under uncultured bacterium. RNAcentral describes it as "bacterial SSU rRNA". It matches the Rfam family "Bacterial small subunit ribosomal RNA", at positions 8 to 796 of the family's 1533-position model. The record is from RNAcentral.
AGAGUUUGAUCAUGGCUCAGGACGAACGCUGGCGGCGUGCUUAACACAUGCAAGUCGAACGGAAAGGCCCUUCGGGGUACUCGAGUGGCGAACGGGUGAGUAACACGUGGGUGAUCUGCCCUGCACUUUGGGAUAAGCCUGGGAAACUGGGUCUAAUACCGAAUAUGACCAUGCACUUCCUGGUGUGUGGUGGAAAGCUUUUGCGGUGUGGGAUGGGCCCGCGGCCUAUCAGCUUGUUGGUGGGGUAAUGGCCUACCAAGGCGACGACGGGUAGCCGGCCUGAGAGGGUGACCGGCCACACUGGGACUGAGAUACGGCCCAGACUCCUACGGGAGGCAGCAGUGGGGAAUAUUGCACAAUGGGCGCAAGCCUGAUGCAGCGACGCCGCGUGAGGGAUGACGGCCUUCGGGUUGUAAACCUCUUUCAGCACAGACGAAGCGCAAGUGACGGUAUGUGCAGAAGAAGGACCGGCCAACCACGUGCCAGCAGCCGCGGUAAUACGUAGGGUCCGAGCGUUGUCCGGAAUUACUGGGCGUAAAGAGCUCGUAGGUGGUUUGUCGCGUUGUUCGUGAAAACUCACAGCUUAACUGUGGGCGUGCGGGCGAUACGGGCAGACUUGAGUACUGCAGGGGAGACUGGAAUUCCUGGUGUAGCGGUGGAAUGCGCAGAUAUUGGGAAGAACACCGGUGGCGUAGGCGACUAGCUGGGCCAUAACUGACACUGAGGAACGAAAGCCAGGGGAGCGAAUGGGAUUAGAUACCCCGGUAGUCC